This 427-nucleotide ribosomal RNA is filed under the name uncultured bacterium. RNAcentral's name for it is "bacterial SSU rRNA". It matches the Rfam family "Bacterial small subunit ribosomal RNA", at positions 28 to 445 of the family's 1533-position model. The record is from RNAcentral.
GAUGAACGCUAGCGGCAGGCUUAAUACAUGCAAGUCGUGGGGCAGCAGGUUUGUAGCAAUACAGAUGCUGGCGACCGGCAAACGGGGUGCGGAACACGUACAGAACCUUCCUUUGAGCGGGGGAAUAGCCCAGAGAAAUUUGGAUUAAAUACCCCAUAGUAUAAUGAAGUGGCAUCACUUUAUUAUUAAAGAUUUAUCACUCGAAGAUGGCUGUGCGGCUGAUUAGGUAGUUGGCGGGGUAAAGGCCCACCAAGCCUGCGAUCAGUAACUGGUGUGAGAGCACGACCAGUCACACGGGCACUGAGACACGGGCCCGACCCCUACGGGAGCAGCAGUAAGGAAUAUUGGUCAAUGGAGGCAACUCUGAACCAGCCAUGCCGCGUGGAGGAUGAAGGUCCUCUGGAUUGUAAACUUCUUUAUAUGGACG